RNAcentral lists this ribosomal RNA (492 nucleotides) under uncultured bacterium. Its description in RNAcentral is "partial 16S ribosomal RNA". It matches the Rfam family "Bacterial small subunit ribosomal RNA", at positions 29 to 507 of the family's 1533-position model. The record is from RNAcentral.
AUUGAACGCUGGCGGCAUGCUUUACACAUGCAAGUCGAACGGUAACAGGCCUUCGGGCGCUGACGAGUGGCGAACGGGUGAGUAAUGCAUCGGAACGUGCCCAGAGGUGGGGGAUAACGCAGCGAAAGCUGUGCUAAUACCGCAUGUGAUCUGAGGAUGAAAGCGGGGGACCAAGCAGCAAUGUUUGGCCUCGCGCCUCUGGAGCGGCCGAUGUCAGAUUAGGUAGUUGGUGGGGUAAAGGCCUACCAAGCCGACGAUCUGUAGCUGGUCUGAGAGGACGACCAGCCACACUGGGACUGAGACACGGCCCAGACUCCUACGGGAGGCAGCAGUGGGGAAUUUUGGACAAUGGGCGCAAGCCUGAUCCAGCAAUGCCGCGUGCGGGAAGAAGGCCUUCGGGUUGUAAACCGCUUUUGUACGGAACGAAAAGGCUCUGGCUAAUACCUGGGGCUGAUGACGGUACCGGAAGAAUAAGCACCGGCUAACUACGUG